CAAUAGCGUAUAUUAAAGUUGUUGCAGUUAAAAAGCUCGUAGUUGAAUUUCUGGCGGGCGCGCCGGUCUUCCAAGUGUUGUACUGGGCGCAGUCCGCCAUCCUUGUGGAGAGGGCUCGCAUUGAGUUGCGUGUCGGAUCUGCAUCAUUUACUGUGAAAAAAUUAGAGUGUUUAAAGCAGGCUGUCGCUUGAAUACAUUAGCAUGGAAUGAUAAGAUAGGACUUCGGUCUAUUUUGUUGGUUGCGAACCGAGGUAAUGAUUAAUAGGGAUAGUUGGGGGUAUUCAUAUUUAAUUGUCAGAGGUGAAAUUCUUGGAUUUAUGAAAGAUGAACAACUGCGAAAGCAUUUACCAAGGAUGUUUUCAUUAA
This 366-nucleotide ribosomal RNA is filed under the name uncultured eukaryote. RNAcentral's name for it is "partial 18S ribosomal RNA". It matches the Rfam family "Eukaryotic small subunit ribosomal RNA", at positions 592 to 976 of the family's 1831-position model. The record is from RNAcentral.